Non-coding RNA from Pan troglodytes (chimpanzee), 117 nucleotides. It matches the Rfam family "Metazoan signal recognition particle RNA". Rfam says of the family: The signal recognition particle (SRP) is a universally conserved ribonucleoprotein. It is involved in the co-translational targeting of proteins to membranes. Lineage: Eukaryota; Metazoa; Chordata; Mammalia; Primates; Hominidae. The record is from Rfam.
GCCGGGCGUGGUGGCUCAUGCCUGUAAUCCCAGCACUUUGGGAGGCUGAGGUGGGUGGAUCACCUGAGGUCAGGAGUUCAAGACCAGCCUGACCAACAUGGUGAAAUUCCAUCUCUA